Molecule: ribosomal RNA, 291 nt
Filed under: uncultured bacterium
Lineage: Bacteria
Description: partial 16S ribosomal RNA
Rfam family: Bacterial small subunit ribosomal RNA
Source: RNAcentral
GUGCCAGCAGCCGCGGUAAUACGUAGGGGGCAAGCGUUGUCCGGAAUUAUUGGGCGUAAAGCGCGCGCAGGCGGUUCAUUAAGUUUGGUGUUUAAGCCCGGGGCUCAACCCCGGUUCGCACUGAAAACUGGUGGACUUGAGUGCAGGAGAGGAAAGCGGAAUUCCACGUGUAGCGGUGAAAUGCGUAGAGAUGUGGAGGAACACCAGUGGCGAAGGCGGCUUUCUGGACUGUAACUGACGCUGAGGCGCGAAAGCGUGGGGAGCAAACAGGAUUAGAUACCCCGGUAGUCC